UUCCGGUUGAUCCUGCCGGAGGCUACUGCUAUCGGGGUUCGAUUAAGCCAUGCGAGUUAAAUGUUCUUCGUGAACAUAGCGAACUGCUCAGUAACACGUGGAUAACCUACCCUUAGGACCGGAAUAACCCCGGGAAACUGGGGAUAAUACCGGAUAAGCCAUAGACGCUGGAAUGCCCUAUGGUUCAAAGCUCCGGCGCCUAAGGAUGGAUCUGCGGUCUAUCAGGUUGUAGUGGGUGUAACGUACCUACUAGCCGACGACGGAUACGGGUUGUGAGAGCAAGAGCCCGGAGAUGGAUUCUGAGACACGAAUCCAGGCCCUACGGGGUGCAGCAGGCGCGAACACUUUACAAUGCGGGAAACCGCGAUAAGGGAACCCCGAGUGCCAGCAUCAAAUGUUGGCUGUCCGGAUGAUUAAAAAUCAUUUGUUAGCAAGGGCCGGGCAAGACCGGUGCCAGCCGCCGCGGUAACACCGGCGGCCCGAGUGGUAGCCGUUUUUAUUGGGUCUAAAGGGUCCGUAGCCGGCCUGAUCAGUCCUUUGGGAAAUCUGGCAGCUUAACUGUCAGGCUUCUAAGGGAUACUGUCAGGCUUGGGACCGGAAGAGGUAAGGGGUACUCCAGGGGUAGGAGUGAAAUCUUGUAAUCCCUGGGGGACCAUCUGUGGCGAAGGCGCCUUACCAGAACGGGUCCGACGGUGAGGGACGAAAGCUAGGGGAGCAAACCGGAUUAGAUACCCGGGUAGUCCUAGCUGUAAACGAUGCUCGCUAGGUGUCAGACACGGUGCGACCGUGUUUGGUGCCGCAGGGAAGCCGUUAAGCGAGCCACCUGGGAAGUACGGUCGCAAGGCUGAAACUUAAAGGAAUUGGGCGGGGGGAGCACUACAACGGG
This 886-nucleotide ribosomal RNA is filed under the name archaeon enrichment culture clone AOM-SR-A10. RNAcentral's name for it is "bacterial SSU rRNA". It matches the Rfam family "Archaeal small subunit ribosomal RNA", at positions 1 to 888 of the family's 1478-position model. The record is from RNAcentral.